RNAcentral lists this ribosomal RNA (497 nucleotides) under uncultured bacterium. RNAcentral describes it as "partial 16S ribosomal RNA". It matches the Rfam family "Bacterial small subunit ribosomal RNA", at positions 28 to 507 of the family's 1533-position model. The record is from RNAcentral.
GAUGAACGCUGGCGGCGUGCCUAAUACAUGCAAGUCGAGCGAACGGACGAGAAGCUUGCUUCUCUGAUGUUAGCGGCGGACGGGUGAGUAACACGUGGAUAACCUACCUAUAAGACUGGGAUAACUUCGGGAAACCGGAGCUAAUACCGGAUAAUAUUUUGAACCGCAUGGUUCAAAAGUGAAAGACGGUCUUGCUGUCACUUAUAGAUGGAUCCGCGCUGCAUUAGCUAGUUGGUAAGGUAACGGCUUACUAAGGCAACGAUGCAUAGCCGACCUGAGAGGGUGAUCGGCCACACUGGAACUGAGACACGGUCCAGACUCCUACGGGAGGCAGCAGUAGGGAAUCUUCCGCGAUGGGCGAAAGCCUGGCGGAGCAACGCCGCGUGAGUGAUGAAGGUCUUCGGAUCGUAAAACUCUGUUAUUAGGGAAGAACAUAUGUGUAAGUAACUGUGCACAUCUUGACGGUACCUAAUCAGAAAGCCACGGCUAACUACGUG